Molecule: ribosomal RNA, 741 nt
Filed under: Polykrikos kofoidii
Lineage: Eukaryota; Dinophyceae; Gymnodiniales; Gymnodiniaceae
Description: LSU rRNA
Rfam family: Eukaryotic large subunit ribosomal RNA
Source: RNAcentral
GAAACUAAACAGGAUUCCCACAGUAAUGGCGAAUGAACGUGGAGGAGCUCAACAUGAGAAUUGUGGCCUUCGGCCUUGAAUUGUAAUCUCAAGAUGUACUGCCAACGGAGGCGCAGGCGUAAGCCUCUUGGAAAAGAGCAUCGUUGAGGGUGAGGAUCCUGUUCGUCUCCUGCAGACCUCCGUGUACGGCGUACKUUCAAAGAGUCACGUUCCUUGGGAUUGGAGCGCAAAUCGGGUGGUAAAUUUCAUCUAAAGCUAAAUAUGGGUUCGAGACCGAUAGCAAACAAGUACCAUGAGGGAAAGAUGAAAAGGACUUUGAAAAGAGAGUUAAAAGUGCCUGAACUCGCUGUAAGGAAAGCGGAUGGAACCAGUCUYGCUUGGCAAGAUUGUCGCGCCGUUGCGCGGGGCUGAAGGGGACAGGUUGAACUUGAAAUUCCUUGUUACCUGGAAGUGCACGCGUGCCGCGAUGUUUCUUGCCUUGCUUGUCACAAGCGGUUUGCGAUUGAAGACGACCUCUCGGGACAUGGAAGCUCGCCCCAGGGUGUGCGAACGUGCCUUGGCAGAACUUAGUCGUAGACUGGCGCUUUGCCCAAGCGGCGGGCGGUAGCCAGCGCAGGUGGUGUGAAAACAGCUUGCGUUGCCCUUUGUUAUCGAGGGGCGCUGGUUUACGCCCGACUAUUGGUGCACUUGCUUUCGUGAUUGAAUGGUUCUAUUCGACCCGUCUUGAAACACGGACCAAGG